UACAGAGGGGGCGAGCGUUGUUCGGAAUUACUGGGCGUAAAGGGCGUGUAGGCGGCCCGCUAAGUCGAACGUGAAAUCCCCAGGCUCAACCUGGGAACUGCGUCCGAUACUGGCAGGCUUGAAUCCGGGAGAGGGAUGUGGAAUUCCAGGUGUAGCGGUGAAAUGCGUAGAUAUCUGGAGGAACACCGGUGGCGAAGGCGGCAUCCUGGACCGGUAUUGACGCUGAGGCGCGAAAGCUAGGGGAGCAAACGGG
This 253-nucleotide ribosomal RNA is filed under the name uncultured bacterium. RNAcentral's name for it is "partial 16S ribosomal RNA". It matches the Rfam family "Bacterial small subunit ribosomal RNA", at positions 524 to 776 of the family's 1533-position model. The record is from RNAcentral.